Molecule: ribosomal RNA, 999 nt
Filed under: uncultured Verrucomicrobiota bacterium
Lineage: Bacteria; Pseudomonadati; Verrucomicrobiota
Description: bacterial SSU rRNA
Rfam family: Bacterial small subunit ribosomal RNA
Source: RNAcentral
CAGCAGCCGCGGUAAUACAUAGGUGGCGAACGUUGUUCGGAUUUACUGGGCGUAAAGGGUCCGCAGGCGGCUCGGUAUGUCAGAUGUGAAAGCCCACAGCUCAACUGUGAAAUGGCAUUUGAAACUGCCAGGCUAGAGUACUGGAGGGGAGAAUGGAACACUCGGUGUAGCGGUGAAAUGCGUAGAUAUCCAGUGGAACACCGGAGGCGAAGGCGCUUCUCUGGACAGAUACUGACGCUCAUGGACGAAAGCUAGGGUAGCGAAAGGGAUUAGAUACCCCUGUAGUCCUAGCCGUAAACGGUGUGCACUAGACGUGGGUGGAUAUACCCCCAUCCGUGUCUGAGCUAACGCAUUAAGUGCACCGCCUGGGGAGUACGGUCGCAAGAUUAAAACUCAAAGGAAUUGACGGGGACCCGCACAAGCGGUGGAGCAUGCGGCUUAAUUCGAUGCAACCGGAAGAACCUUACCUGGACUUGACAUAUAGCUGCAUACGACCUGAAAGGGACGUAGCCUUCGAGGGUGGUAUACAGGUGCUGCAUGGCUGUCGUCAGGUUGUGCCGUGAGGUGUUGGGUUAAGUCCCGCAACGAGCGCAACCCCUGUGUUUAGUUGCCAGCACGUAAUGGUGGGAACUCUAAACAGACUGCUUGUGAAAACAAGAGGAAGGUGGGGAUGACGUCAAGUCAGUAUGGUCCUUAUGUCCAGGGCUGCACACGUGCUACAAUGGGCGAUACAAUAGGAAGCCAAACCGCGAGGUGGAGCAAAUCCUCAAAAUCGCCCCCAGUUCGGAUUGAAGUCUGAAACUCGACUUCAUGAAGUUGGAAUCGCUAGUAAAGGCGUAUCAGCUACGACGCCUUGAAUACGUUCCCGGGUCUUGUACACACCGCCCGUCACAUCAUGGAAGUUUGUUGCACCCGAAGUCGCUGAUCUAACCUGUCAAAGGAAGAAGGCGCCUAAGGUGUGAUAGAUAACUGGGAUGAAGUCGUAACAAGGUAACCGUA